CCCCAUGUCAACUCGCCAUGUUUUAACAACAGCUGAUAGCGGUUUGUCUACAUUUUUAAAAGAAGCAUGGCCUGCAAGACAUCGAUAGUGGAAAUUUCAGCUCAACUAACGUAUGACAGAUCAUAAAGCUCAAAACGAACUCUUGUUACCACAUUACUUUUACCUGUUGAUUCGUAUGGUUUCAGCUCUUGAGGUUAACCUGUCACCUCUACCCACAUGCAUAGUCCUUGUGUUCUACAGACUAUCUACCGGUAUUUCAAAUUAAAACGGAUAAUGCAUGAACAAUAAUGGAACUUUAAGAAAGCAUCAUGCCCUAUUGUGGUUUGUUCAUGUUUGAUAAGAAAUUAUAAAAAACAAAAUUAAGGCUGUUUAAAGAAAUAUGAUUGUUGUGAAAAUUUGUUUUUCAAUGAAAGUAUGCAAUUA
Magallana angulata is the source of this 423-nucleotide long non-coding RNA. RefSeq lists it as uncharacterized. The record is from RefSeq and is a predicted model, not a curated record. The transcript has 2 exons. NCBI's taxonomy places the organism in Eukaryota, Metazoa, Mollusca, Bivalvia, Ostreida, Ostreidae.